ACGUUAGCGGCGGACGGGUGAGUAACACGUGGGUAACCUACCUAUAAGACUGGGAUAACUUCGGGAAACCGGAGCUAAUACCGGAUAAUAUUUCGAACCGCAUGGUUCGAUAGUGAAAGGUGGUUUUGCUAUCACUUAUAGAUGGACCCGCGCCGUAUUAGCUAGUUGGUAAGGUAACGGCUUACCAAGGCGACGAUACGUAGCUGACCUGAGAGGGUGAUCGGCCACACUGGAACUGAGACACGGUCCAGACUCCUACGGGAGGCAGCAGCU
RNAcentral lists this ribosomal RNA (273 nucleotides) under uncultured Staphylococcus sp. Its description in RNAcentral is "partial 16S ribosomal RNA". It matches the Rfam family "Bacterial small subunit ribosomal RNA", at positions 89 to 355 of the family's 1533-position model. Lineage: Bacteria; Bacillati; Bacillota; Bacilli; Caryophanales; Staphylococcaceae. The record is from RNAcentral.